UGGACAGAUUAUUGUAUUCGAUUGUAUUCGACUGUAUUCACAGCGUGAAACAGGGGAUUACACUGUUUUUAAACGGAAAGUGAAUCGAUUAACAUAAUAGACUCCU
RNAcentral lists this microRNA precursor (106 nucleotides) under Nicotiana sylvestris (wood tobacco). Its description in RNAcentral is "MIR6152 microRNA precursor family". It matches the Rfam family "MIR6152 microRNA precursor family". The record is from Rfam by way of RNAcentral. Lineage: Eukaryota; Viridiplantae; Streptophyta; Magnoliopsida; Solanales; Solanaceae.